GAUGAACGCUGGCGGCGUGCCUAAUACAUGCAAGUCGAGCGAACGGACGAGAAGCUUGCUUCUCUGAUGUUAGCGGCGGACGGGUGAGUAACACGUGGAUAACCUACCUAUAAGACUGGGAUAACUUCGGGAAACCGGAGCUAAUACCGGAUAAUAUUUUGAACCGCAUGGUUCAAAAGUGAAAGACGGUCUUGCUGUCACUUAUAGAUGGAUCCGCGCUGCAUUAGCUAGUUGGUAAGGUAACGGCUUACCAAGGCAACGAUGCAUAGCCGACCUGAGAGGGUGAUCGGCCACACUGGAACUGAGACACGGUCCAGACUCCUACGGGAGGCAGCAGUAGGGAAUCUUCCGCAAUGGGCGAAAGCCUGACGGAGCAACGCCGCGUGAGUGAUGAAGGUCUUCGGAUCGUAAAACUCUGUUAUUAGGGAAGAACAAAUGUGUAAGUAACUAUGCACGUCUUGACGGUACCUAAUCAGAAAGCCACGGCUAACUACGUGCCAGCAGCCGCGGUAAUACGUAGGUGGCAAGCGUUAUCCGGAAUUAUUGGGCGUAAAGCGCGCGUAGGCGGUUUUUUAAGUCUGAUGUGAAAGCCCACGGCUCAACCGUGGAGGGUCAUUGGAAACUGGAAAACUUGAGUGCAGAAGAGGAAAGUGGAAUUCCAUGUGUAGCGGUGAAAUGCGCAGAGAUAUGGAGGAACACCAGUGGCGAAGGCGACUUUCUGGUCUGUAACUGACGCUGAUGUGCGAAAGCGUGGGGAUCAAACAGGAUUAGAUACCCUGGUAGUCCACGCCGUAAACGAUGAGUGCUAAGUGUUAGGGGGUUUCCGCCCCUUAGUGCUGCAGCUAACGCAUUAAGCACUCCGCCUGGGGAGUACGACCGCAAGGUUGAAACUCAAAGGAAUUGACGGGGACCCGCACAAGCGGUGGAGCAUGUGGUUUAAUUCGAAGCAACGCGAAGAACCUUACCAAAUCUUGACAUCCUUUGACAACUCUAGAGAUAGAGCCUUCCCCUUCGGGGGACAAAGUGACAGGUGGUGCAUGGUUGUCGUCAGCUCGUGUCGUGAGAUGUUGGGUUAAGUCCCGCAACGAGCGCAACCCUUAAGCUUAGUUGCCAUCAUUAAGUUGGGCACUCUAAGUUGACUGCCGGUGACAAACCGGAGGAAGGUGGGGAUGACGUCAAAUCAUCAUGCCCCUUAUGAUUUGGGCUACACACGUGCUACAAUGGACAAUACAAAGGGCAGCGAAACCGCGAGGUCAAGCAAAUCCCAUAAAGUUGUUCUCAGUUCGGAUUGUAGUCUGCAACUCGACUACAUGAAGCUGGAAUCGCUAGUAAUCGUAGAUCAGCAUGCUACGGUGAAUACGUUCCCGGGUCU
RNAcentral lists this ribosomal RNA (1372 nucleotides) under uncultured bacterium. Its description in RNAcentral is "bacterial SSU rRNA". It matches the Rfam family "Bacterial small subunit ribosomal RNA", at positions 28 to 1381 of the family's 1533-position model. The record is from RNAcentral.